AUGGGUAAGAAGCUUGAUGCUCUCCUUGGUAGAACCUUCAAGGCUUCAAAGUUCAAGGCAACUGUUAACCUUGCCACCUCACGCAUAGCUGUUCUCAAGAACCAGCGCCAUGCUCGCCUUAGACAUGCACGUUCUGAUGUGCUUGAACUCCUCCAACUUGGUCACCAAGAACGAGCCUCACUUAGAGCUGAGCAUGUGAUAAAGGAUCAGAACAUGUUGGAUGUGUAUGACAUGAUUGAGGGAUACUGCAACCUCUUGAUUGAAAGGGUCCACCUCAUUGAACAAGAAAGAGAAUGUCCCGAGGAACUGAAGGAGGCAGCAUCUGGAUUACUCUAUGCAGCUUCUAGGUGUGGAGAUUUCCCAGAAAUUCAAGAGAUUCGCGGUGUUCUGACCACGCGGUUUGGCAAGGAAUUUGCUGCUCGUGCUAUCGAGUUGAGGAAUAACUGUGGAGUUCAUCCUCAGAUUAUACAAAAGAUGUCAACAAGGAUGCCAAGCUUGGAGAUCAGAAUGAAGGCACUCAAAGACAUUGCUUCUGAGAAUGGUAUUGUUCUGCAGCUUGAAGAAACUUCUGUGUCGGUUGAGGAACACUUCAAUUUGGAAAAGCAAAACCUGCAUGAACCUGAGAAAAAGGAAGAGAAUGCAAGCAUUUUGCCUAGUAGAGGGAAAGAUGAGGAGUUAACUGAUUCCUUUAAGGGCAGGCAAAAGUACAAGGACGUGGCUGAUGCAGCACAAGCAGCUUUUGAGUCAGCAGCAUAUGCUGCAGCUGCUGCAAGAGCAGCACUGGAACUCUCCCGAUCUGAAUCACAUGAUCCUGAUGAUCAUGAUAGUCCAAGCCCCCAACCAAGAAAAGUAGAGGAUGAUGGACAUGAUAAUGUGAGGCCUCCACCGGAAGAAAAUGAAAUCCUCAGUGAAACAGAAGAAGAAUUUGACAAGGAUAUAGAUGACAUAAAAAGGCCAAAAGACAUUAUAAGUUGCAAUUCAACCGAUGAGAUUUUGAAGGGGGCUGAAAUUGAUGCUGAUCCUUUGGAAAAGGAAAUAGUUUUUGAUGAAACUGAUGAAGAGACUGAUAAUGAACAUAAAAGAAAUCAAUCUUCUAAGACUUCUUCAGAGUAUGGUGCUGGAAUUGAGGUUGGUUCAGGUUCUAGGAAACUAGUAUUAAAUACAGUGGCAGGAUCCGAGAUGCAGAGCGUGCCUCAGUUGGAUUUGCAGAAGAGGCCAAUUUCAGUGAGGACAAGAUGAAUGCAAAAUUACUGAGUAAUGGGUGCAAGUAGCACGCAAUGUUGCAUUGCAUAUGAUUGAAGUUUUGCUGGUACCUUCUGGACAUGGACAUGGACAUGGGAAACAGGCUGAUAUUUGAUCAUACACGGAAAUAUAUGACUGUAGAAGAAACCUUAAAAAAUAAGAGAAUUCGAAGUUACAAAUUGAUCUUCAAUGGGAUCUCCUAUUUGACAUCAGGUUAAACCAAUUGUUAACUGAUAAGAACCUUGGGACUUGGGAGAACUAUACCACAAAAACUAGCUACAGUAACUGGAGAGGCCAAGGCCUUAUAUAUUUCAUACUAUAAUCUUAUACUUCCAAUGUGGUAUUCAACUCUCAAGAACUUUGAGAGAACCAUGCUAUAAAAACUAGUUGUUGUAAUUGAACAGUCCAAACCAAAGCCUCAAACCCCACGCUAAAAUCCCACAUACUUUCAAUUUCAAAAUGUGAAACUCAAGCCUCAUACUUUGGAUUGGAUCCCAACAUUAACCUUCUUAUAUUAUUUCUCAUAUCAGAUUGUCAAUUUGAAGCAUAAUACUAGACUAGGUUAUCAAAUGCAGAUUCUAAAUAAAAAUAAAAAUAGCUGGUUAAUUUGUGAACAGUGAAUUAUAAUUUACAUUGAAUCAUAAGAUUAGAGGUAAUGAAGAACAACUUCAAAUAUCGGAGUUA
Cajanus cajan (pigeon pea) is the source of this 1926-nucleotide RNA transcript. It is a transcript of the gene named Regulator of Vps4 activity in the MVB pathway protein, with no coding region annotated. Lineage: Eukaryota; Viridiplantae; Streptophyta; Magnoliopsida; Fabales; Fabaceae. The record is from RefSeq and is a predicted model, not a curated record.